CACCAGAAGGACCCUCUUUUUCCUGCUACCAGCUUAGUGGCAGAUGGAGAGGAAAUGAACUCACACAGCUUUAAUGGGAAUAUAGCCGGGGAUGGCAGCUUCAACGACAAUGGGAAUGGCUUCGAGUCCCCAGCCAUCUAUGUGAGUAUUGCAAGAGACCAGGACCUCCAUCACAACAGGAGCUAACAGGCAGUCCUCCUUUC
RNAcentral lists this long non-coding RNA (203 nucleotides) under Apteryx owenii (little spotted kiwi). RNAcentral's name for it is "lncRNA (ENSAOWG00000002555.1)". Lineage: Eukaryota; Metazoa; Chordata; Aves; Apterygiformes; Apterygidae. The record is from RNAcentral.